CUCUCCCACUGUGACAGUGAGUGAUUCUCCUGACUACUGAUCGAGCAGCCAUCUCCCGGCUCCUGCCUACACCUUCAGCCAUUCAGUGCACCUGCACAGACAAUUCACCAGUCCCAGUGGGAAAUCAAACAUGGAGGGCACUCCUCUGUUUUCAUGGAUGUUUGCAAAGAAGAAGAUUUUCAGGAUGUAUAUUGUAUACAUUUCUCUGACAUUAAAUGUACCUUUGAAACCUUUGAACUCUUUGACUCAAUAACUGCUUCAAGCUUCAACAAAAAUUACAGCCGCAAGCAGUCCUUCCAGAUGCUGCCUGACCUACUGAGUUCCUGCCACACUUUGUGUGCGUUGAUCCAAACAUCUGUACAGCUAAUCCAGAUGAUGGAGUGAGAGAGAGCUUUGAGAGACACAGCACGGAAACAGGCCCUUCCGGCUGAACGAGCUGCGCCGCCAAUUCACCUUCUAGCCCGGAUGUCUUUGUAAAGUGGGAGGAAACCGGAGCACCAGGAGAAAACCCAGUCAGUCAUGGGUAGAAUGUAUUAACUCCUUACAGACAGCGCGGUGGGACUGAAACCCGCUCGGUGAUCACCGGCAUCGCGAAGCGCCGUGCUAACUGCGACACCACCAUGCCGGUGUCUGCUGGGAACAGCUUGCAAGAGUCCAACACCAUCUUGGAAGUUUUAAGAGGUUUUGAAGGGUUUAUUGCCAGAGAUUGUUGCACCGCUGUCUGGGCACCACAGAGGGAACCAAUGCAGUGUCAGGGAGAGUGUGCAAACUCCUUGCAGACAGCAGUGGCAAUUCAAUCUGGAUCGCUGGCGCUGUAAAGUGUUGUGCUAACCACUACACUACCAUGUGGCCAACAUCUGGUGAAUGAAGUAAAUCACAGUACCUAUGAGGAGGCAGAGGAAAGAGGUGGUGUGGGAAGGCUGAUGAGUGGUGAUCUACUAACUUUUAAGGCCAGUUAGACAAAGGUUCAAUCAGGUAGCAAGAGCUCCAUGCUCCAUCGUUCCCCACACAGGGGAAAUGUCUAACACCCCGGGUAAGGAGACAAGGGGCAUGUGAGCAGAAACAAUUUACUUCUUGAGGAACAUGCAUAAACUGCUACGGAACCCAAUGAGUCAGGCGGUCUGUGAUAGGAGAUGGGCAGUCACCCUUCAUCAGGACUGGCAAGAAAGAGGGGAGAUAGCCAGUACGAAAAGGUGAAGGGGAAGGGGCGGAGAGAG
This is a long non-coding RNA of Hypanus sabinus (Atlantic stingray), 1217 nucleotides long. RefSeq lists it as uncharacterized. The record is from RefSeq and is a predicted model, not a curated record. The transcript is spliced from 4 exons. Lineage: Eukaryota; Metazoa; Chordata; Chondrichthyes; Myliobatiformes; Dasyatidae.